RNAcentral lists this ribosomal RNA (1278 nucleotides) under Pseudomonas aeruginosa. RNAcentral's name for it is "bacterial LSU rRNA". It matches the Rfam family "Bacterial large subunit ribosomal RNA", at positions 764 to 2027 of the family's 2925-position model. The record is from RNAcentral. Lineage: Bacteria; Pseudomonadati; Pseudomonadota; Gammaproteobacteria; Pseudomonadales; Pseudomonadaceae.
GACUGGAGGACCGAACCCACUCCCGUUGAAAAGGUAGGGGAUGACUUGUGGAUCGGAGUGAAAGGCUAAUCAAGCUCGGAGAUAGCUGGUUCUCCUCGAAAGCUAUUUAGGUAGCGCCUCAUGUAUCACUCUGGGGGGUAGAGCACUGUUUCGGCUAGGGGGUCAUCCCGACUUACCAAACCGAUGCAAACUCCGAAUACCCAGAAGUGCCGAGCAUGGGAGACACACGGCGGGUGCUAACGUCCGUCGUGAAAAGGGAAACAACCCAGACCGCCAGCUAAGGUCCCAAAGUUGUGGUUAAGUGGUAAACGAUGUGGGAAGGCUUAGACAGCUAGGAGGUUGGCUUAGAAGCAGCCAUCCUUUAAAGAAAGCGUAAUAGCUCACUAGUCGAGUCGGCCUGCGCGGAAGAUGUAACGGGGCUCAAACCACACACCGAAGCUGCGGGUGUCACGUAAGUGACGCGGUAGAGGAGCGUUCUGUAAGCCUGUGAAGGUGAGUUGAGAAGCUUGCUGGAGGUAUCAGAAGUGCGAAUGCUGACAUGAGUAACGACAAUGGGUGUGAAAAACACCCACGCCGAAAGACCAAGGGUUCCUGCGCAACGUUAAUCGACGCAGGGUUAGUCGGUUCCUAAGGCGAGGCUGAAAAGCGUAGUCGAUGGGAAACAGGUUAAUAUUCCUGUACUUCUGGUUACUGCGAUGGAGGGACGGAGAAGGCUAGGCCAGCUUGGCGUUGGUUGUCCAAGUUUAAGGUGGUAGGCUGAAAUCUUAGGUAAAUCCGGGGUUUCAAGGCCGAGAGCUGAUGACGAGUCGUCUUUUAGAUGACGAAGUGGUUGAUGCCAUGCUUCCAAGAAAAGCUUCUAAGCUUCAGGUAACCAGGAACCGUACCCCAAACCGACACAGGUGGUCGGGUAGAGAAUACCAAGGCGCUUGAGAGAACUCGGGUGAAGGAACUAGGCAAAAUGGCACCGUAACUUCGGGAGAAGGUGCGCCGGCUAGGGUGAAGGAUUUACUCCGUAAGCUCUGGCUGGUCGAAGAUACCAGGCCGCUGCGACUGUUUAUUAAAAACACAGCACUCUGCAAACACGAAAGUGGACGUAUAGGGUGUGACGCCUGCCCGGUGCCGGAAGGUUAAUUGAUGGGGUUAGCGCAAGCGAAGCUCUUGAUCGAAGCCCCGGUAAACGGCGGCCGUAACUAUAACGGUCCUAAGGUAGCGAAAUUCCUUGUCGGGUAAGUUCCGACCUGCACGAAUGGCGUAACGAUGGCGGCGCUGUCUCCACCC